AGUUAAGUGACUAAGCGUACACGGUGGAUGCCUAGGCAAUCAGAGGCGAAGAAGGACGUGCUAAUCUGCGAAAAGCUUGGAUGAGUUGAUAAGAAGCGUUUAAUCCAAGAUAUCCGAAUGGGGAAACCCGAUGGAUGAAGAAUCCAUCAUUUCAUUAUGAAUCCAUAGUAAUGAAAGGCAAACCGGGAGAACUGAAACAUCUAAGUACCCCGAGGAAAAGAAAUCAAUCGAGAUUUUGUAAGUAGCGGCGAGCGAAAGCGAAAGAGCCAGUGAGUGAUAGCAGCAAAGACAGAAGAAUUGGCUGGGAAGCCAAGCGACACAGGGUGAUAGCCCCGUAUUCGAAGUUUUUGUUGUGGUACUAAGCUUGCAACAAGUAGGGCGGGACACGAGAAAUCCUGUUUGAAGAUGGGGGGACCAUCCUCCAAGGCUAAAUACUCCUGAUUGACCGAUAGUGAACCAGUACUGUGAAGGAAAGGCGAAAAGAACCCCAGUGAGGGGAGUGAAAUAGAACCUGAAACCGUGUACGUACAAGCAGUGGGAGCCCUUUGGGGUGACUGCGUACCUUUUGUAUAAUGGGUCAGCGACUUAUAUUUUGUAGCGAGGUUAACUGAAUAAGGGAGCCGAAGGGAAACCGAGUCUUAACUGGGCGGAUAGUUGCAAGGUAUAGACCCGAAACCCGGUGAUCUAGCCAUGGGCAGGUUGAAGGUUGGGUAACACUAACUGGAGGACCGAACCGACUAAUGUUGAAAAAUUAGCGGAUGACUUGUGGCUGGGGGUGAAAGGCCAAUCAAACCGGGAGAUAGCUGGUUCUCCCCGAAAUCUAUUUAGGUAGAGCCUUAUGUGAAUACCUUCGGGGGUAGAGCACUGUUUCGGCUAGGGGUCCAUCCCGGAUUACCAACCCGAUGCAAACUGCGAAUACCGAAGAGUAAUGCAUAGGAGACACACGGUGGGUGCUAACGUCCAUCGUGGAGAGGGAAACAACCCAGACCGCCAGCUAAGGUCCCAAAGUCUAUAUUAAGUGGGAAACGAAGUGGGAAGGCUUAGACAGCUAGGAUGUUGGCUUAGAAGCAGCCAUCAUUUAAAGAAAGCGUAAUAGCUCACUAGUCGAGUCGGCCUGCGCGGAAGAUGUAACGGGGCUAAAAUAUAGCACCGAAGCUGCGGCAUCAGACGUAUCACUAAUACGCCUUACGAUUAACAACAUCGAAUGAAGUGAAACGGAAAGAGAUGUUGGUCAAGCAACCCGAACGUUGAGUCGGAAAGUAAUCGAAGAGAGGAUUAUUAGUGAUACGUCUGUUGGGUAGGGGAGCGUUGUGUAAGCGGAUGAAGGUGAAUCGAGAGGUUUGCUGGACGUAUCACAAGUGCGAAUGCUGACAUAAGUAACGAUAAAACGAGUGAAAAACUCGUUCGCCGGAAGACCAAGGGUUCCUGUCCAACGUUAAUCGGGGCAGGGUGAGUCGGCCCCUAAGGCGAGGCUGAAAAGCGUAGUCGAUGGGAAACGGGUUAAUAUUCCCGUACUUGGUUNNNNNNNNNNNNNNNNNNNNNNNNNNNNNNNNNNNNNNNNNNNNNNNNNNNNNNNNNNNNNNNNNNNNNNNNNNNNNNNNNNNNNNNNNNNNNNNNAUAAACCGUACUGAAAACCGACACAGGUGGUCAGGUAGAGAAUACUCAGGCGCUUGAGAGAACUCGGGUGAAGGAACUAGGCAAAAUAGCACCGUAACUUCGGGAGAAGGUGCGCUGGCGUAGGUUGUAGGAGUAUACCUCCGAAGGCUGAACCAGUCGAAGAUACCAGCUGGCUGCAACUGUUUAUUAAAAACACAGCACUCUGCAAACACGAAAGUGGACGUAUAGGGUGUGAUGCCUGCCCGGUGCUGGAAGGUUAAUUGAUGGUGUUAUCGAAAGAGAAGCUCCUGAUCGAAGCCCCAGUAAACGGCGGCCGUAACUAUAACGGUCCUAAGGUAGCGAAAUUCCUUGUCGGGUAAGUUCCGACCUGCACGAAUGGCAUAAUGAUGGCCAGGCUGUCUCCACCCGAGACUCAGUGAAAUUGAAAUCGCCGUGAAGAUGCGGUGUACCCGCGGCUAGACGGAAAGACCCCGUGAACCUUUACUAUAGCUUGACACUGAACAUUGAAUUUUGAUGUGUAGGAUAGGUGGGAGCCUAAGAAGCAGUCACGCCAGUGAUUGUGGAGGCGUCCUUGAAAUACCACCCUUUAACGUUUGAUGUUCUAACGAAGAUUGCGAAACGCGGUCUCGGACAGUGUCUGGUGGGUAGUUUGACUGGGGCGGUCUCCUCCCAAAGAGUAACGGAGGAGCACGAAGGUUUGCUAAUCACGGUCGGACAUCGUGAGGUUAGUGCAAUGGUAUAAGCAAGCUUAACUGCGAGACAGACAAGUCGAGCAGGUGCGAAAGCAGGUCAUAGUGAUCCGGUGGUUCUGAAUGGAAGGGCCAUCGCUCAACGGAUAAAAGGUACUCCGGGGAUAACAGGCUGAUACCGCCCAAGAGUUCAUAUCGACGGCGGUGUUUGGCACCUCGAUGUCGGCUCAUCACAUCCUGGGGCUGAAGUAGGUCCCAAGGGUAUGGCUGUUCGCCAUUUAAAGUGGUACGCGAGCUGGGUUUAGAACGUCGUGAGACAGUUCGGUCCCUAUCUGCCGUGGGCGUUGGAGAAUUGAGAGGGGCUGCUCCUAGUACGAGAGGACCGGAGUGGACGCAUCACUGGUGUACCAGUUGUCUCGCCAGAGGCACUGCUGGGUAGCUAAAUGCGGAAGAGAUAAGUGCUGAAAGCAUCUAAGCACGAAACUCGCCUUAAGAUGAGUUCUCCCAGUCUAUAAGACUGUAAGGGUUGUUGGAGACUACGACGUAGAUAGGUCUGGUGUGUAAGCGGUGUGAGCCGUUGAGCUAACAGAUACUAAUUGCCCGAGAGGCUUAACUAU
Molecule: ribosomal RNA, 2923 nt
Filed under: Glaesserella parasuis
Lineage: Bacteria; Pseudomonadati; Pseudomonadota; Gammaproteobacteria; Pasteurellales; Pasteurellaceae
Description: 23S ribosomal RNA
Rfam family: Bacterial large subunit ribosomal RNA
Source: RNAcentral